UCAACCAUCAAGCCUGGCUUGUCGUUGGACCUCUUUGCAGCUGAAAUAAGCGGCAGGUCCGAAAGAUAAUGACGGCGUCGUGUUUGACCCUAGAUGCAACGAGCUUUUCAUAGCACGCAUUGAAGUGGUCGGCCGACCCGGUCUUUAACCAUCAUUUUUCUAA
Molecule: unclassified non-coding RNA, 163 nt
Filed under: uncultured Ascomycota
Lineage: Eukaryota; Fungi; Ascomycota
Description: sequence contains ITS2
Source: RNAcentral